This 27-nucleotide non-coding RNA is filed under the name Mus musculus (house mouse). The record is from RNAcentral. Lineage: Eukaryota; Metazoa; Chordata; Mammalia; Rodentia; Muridae.
UCUGUAAAAUCAGGCUUGACCUCGUGU